RNAcentral lists this ribosomal RNA (443 nucleotides) under uncultured Prevotella sp. RNAcentral's name for it is "bacterial SSU rRNA". It matches the Rfam family "Bacterial small subunit ribosomal RNA", at positions 355 to 794 of the family's 1533-position model. Lineage: Bacteria; Pseudomonadati; Bacteroidota; Bacteroidia; Bacteroidales; Prevotellaceae. The record is from RNAcentral.
UGAGGAAUAUUGGUCAAUGGGCGGAAGCCUGAACCAGCCAAGUAGCGUGCAGGAUGACGGCCCUACGGGUUGUAAACUGCUUUUAGGCGGGGGUAAAGGGGCGCACGCGUUGCGCCUUUGCAAGUACCGCCAGAAAAAGGACCGGCUAAUUCCGUGCCAGCAGCCGCGGUAAUACGGAAGGUCCGGGCGUUAUCCGGAUUUAUUGGGUUUAAAGGGAGCGUAGGCCGCCUUUUAAGCGUGUUGUGAAAUGCAGUCGCUCAACGUCUGCACUGCAGCGCGAACUGGAGGGCUUGAGUGCACGGGAAGCUGGCGGAAUUCGUCGUGUAGCGGUGAAAUGCUUAGAUAUGACGAAGAACCCCGAUUGCGAAGGCAGCUGGCUGUAGUGCCACUGACGCUGAAGCUCGAAAGUGCGGGUAUCGAACAGGAUUAGAUACCCUGGUAGU